RNAcentral lists this long non-coding RNA (384 nucleotides) under Panax ginseng (ginseng). RNAcentral describes it as "long non-coding RNA (PGIN_LNC010465)". The record is from RNAcentral. Lineage: Eukaryota; Viridiplantae; Streptophyta; Magnoliopsida; Apiales; Araliaceae.
GAAAUUAUGGGGAACGAACCCAUACAAUUUUGGGGAAGGAAAAUGCAAUUAGCAUUACAAAGACGAAAACCCAUAAAAAGAAGCUAGUUUUUUGAAAUUAAUAGUUCAAGAACUCAAUUUUGUAAGGGAUAAAAAUUUCAAACAUACAAAAUGGGAAAAGUUAUAGAUACUCAGACAUGUGAACACAUAUACAGAGAGAUAUAAAGGGAGGGAAAGGAAAAGGAGCAACAACGAUGUGGAGGGCAUAGAUAGUGUUGAUCUUGAAAUUGAAGGUGAGAUGAAAAGAAUUUGAAUAUAUAUCAUCAAAACCCUAUCUCUAUGACUCUCUCUCUGCUCCGUUUUUUGCCCCAAUUUGAGAGAGAGAAAAAAGGAGGCAGCAGCUUU